CGCCCUUGAGUUUGAUCAUGGCUCAGGAUGAACGCUAGCGGCAGGCCUAAUACAUGCAAGUCGGACGGGAUUGGAGAGCUUGCUUUCCAUGAGAGUGGCGCACGGGUGCGUAACACGUAUGUAACCUACCUUUAUCAGGGGGAUAGCCUCUCGAAAGAGAGAUUAAGCCCGCAUAAAAUCACAGUGCAGCAUUGCAUAAUGAUCAAAUAUUUAUAGGAUAAAGAUGGGCAUGCGGAACAUUAGCUAGUUGGUAAGGUAACGGCUUACCAAGGCUACGAUGUUUAGGGGAUCUGAGAGGAUGACCCCCCACACUGGUACUGAGACACGGACCAGACUCCUACGGGAGGCAGCAGUAAGGAAUAUUGGUCAAUGGGCGGAAGCCUGAACCAGCCAUGCCGUUGUUUAGGAAGACGGCCCUACGGGUUGUAAACUGCUUUUGUACCGGAAUAAACCCCAAUUCGUGAAUUGGGCUGAAUGUACGGUAAGAAUAAGGAUCGGCUAACUCCGUGCCAGCAGCCGCGGUAA
Molecule: ribosomal RNA, 525 nt
Filed under: uncultured Sphingobacteriaceae bacterium
Lineage: Bacteria; Pseudomonadati; Bacteroidota; Sphingobacteriia; Sphingobacteriales; Sphingobacteriaceae
Description: bacterial SSU rRNA
Rfam family: Bacterial small subunit ribosomal RNA
Source: RNAcentral